This 31-nucleotide non-coding RNA is filed under the name Mus musculus (house mouse). The record is from RNAcentral. Lineage: Eukaryota; Metazoa; Chordata; Mammalia; Rodentia; Muridae.
UGGGUGGGAUCUGUUCUUCAGUCUGUCAUGU